AGAGUGAACGCUGGCGGUAGGCCUAACACAUGCAAGUCGAACGGCAGCACAGUAGGAGCUUGCUCUUACGGGUGGCGAGUGGCGGACGGGUGAGGAAUACAUCGGAAUCUACCUUUUGGUGGGGGAUAACGUAGGGAAACUUACGCUAAUACCGCAUACGCCCUUCGGGGGAAAGCCGGGGACCAGCAAUGGCCUGGCGCUGAUAGAUGAGCCGAUGUCGGAUUAGCUAGUUGGUGAGGUAAUGGCUCACCAAGGCGACGAUCCGUAGCUGGUCUGAGAGGUUGAUCAGCCACACUGGAACUGAGACGACGGUCCAGACUCCUACGGGAGGCAGCGAGGUGGGGAAUAGUGGACAAGUGGGCG
RNAcentral lists this ribosomal RNA (363 nucleotides) under uncultured soil bacterium. RNAcentral's name for it is "bacterial SSU rRNA". It matches the Rfam family "Bacterial small subunit ribosomal RNA", at positions 26 to 377 of the family's 1533-position model. The record is from RNAcentral.